RNAcentral lists this ribosomal RNA (957 nucleotides) under uncultured euryarchaeote. RNAcentral describes it as "bacterial SSU rRNA". It matches the Rfam family "Archaeal small subunit ribosomal RNA", at positions 375 to 1332 of the family's 1478-position model. The record is from RNAcentral. Lineage: Archaea; Methanobacteriati; Methanobacteriota.
GGGACCUCGAGUGCCAGGUUACAAAUCUGGCUGUCGUGAUGCCUAAAAAGCAUUGCAUAGCAAGGGCCGGGCAAGACCGGUGCCAGCCGCCGCGGUAACACCGGCGGCUCGAGUGGUAACCGUUAUUAUUGGGUCUAAAGGGUCUGUAGCCGGCCGGAUAAGUCUCUUGGGAAAUCUGGCAGCUUAACUGUCAGGCUUUCAGGAGAUACUGUCUGGCUCGAGGCCGGGAGAGGUGAGAGGUACUUCAGGGGUAGGGGUGAAAUCUUGUAAUCCUUGAAGGACCACCAGUGGCGAAGGCGUCUCACCAGAACGGACCUGACGGCAAGGGACGAAAGCUAGGGGCACGAACCGGAUUAGAUACCCGGGUAGUCCUAGCCGUAAACGAUACUCGCUAGGUGUCGGCCACGGUGCGACCGUUGUCGGUGCCGUAGGGAAGCCGUGAAGCGAGCCACCUGGGAAGUACGGCCGCAAGGCUGAAACUUAAAGGAAUUGGCGGGGGAGCACCACAACGGGUGGAGCUUGCGGUUUAAUUGGAUUCAACGCCGGAAAUCUUACCGGGACCGACAGCAAUAUGAAGGCCAGGCUGAAGACUUUGCCGGAUUAGCUGAGAGGUGGUGCAUGGCCGUCGUCAGUUCGUACUGUGAAGCAUCCUGUUAAGUCAGGCAACGAGCGAGACCCACGCCCACAGUUGCCAGCGUACUCUCCGGAGUGACGGGUACACUGUGGGGACCGCCGCUGCUAAAGCGGAGGAAGGAAUGGGCAACGGUAGGUCAGUAUGCCCCGAAUAUCCCGGGCUACACGCGAGCUACAAUGGUUGGUACAAUGGGUAUCUACCCCGAAAGGGGAUGGAAAUCUCCUAAAGCCAAUCUUAGUCCGGAUUGAGGGCUGCAACUCGCCCUCAUGAAGCUGGAAUCCGUAGUAAUCGCGUUUCAACAGAACGCGGUGAAUACGUCCCUG